Molecule: transfer RNA, 66 nt
Filed under: Stygiocaris stylifera
Lineage: Eukaryota; Metazoa; Arthropoda; Malacostraca; Decapoda; Atyidae
Description: tRNA-Tyr
Rfam family: tRNA
About the family: Transfer RNA (tRNA) molecules are approximately 80 nucleotides in length.
Source: RNAcentral
GGUUAGAUGGCUGAGAUACUAGGCGGUAGAUUGUAAAUUUACAGACGGAGGGCAUUCCUUUAACCA